RNAcentral lists this ribosomal RNA (495 nucleotides) under uncultured bacterium. RNAcentral describes it as "partial 16S ribosomal RNA". It matches the Rfam family "Bacterial small subunit ribosomal RNA", at positions 28 to 507 of the family's 1533-position model. The record is from RNAcentral.
GAUGAACGCUGGCGGCGUGCCUAAUACAUGCAAGUAGAACGCUGAAGGAGGAGCUUGCUCUUCUGGAUGAGUUGCGAACGGGUGAGUAACGCGUAGGUAACCUGCCUGGUAGCGGGGGAUAACUAUUGGAAACGAUAGCUAAUACCGCAUGACAACAGUUAUUGCAUGAUAACUGUUUAAAAGGGGCAACUGCUCCACUACCAGAUGGACCUGCGUUGUAUUAGCUAGUUGGUGAGGUAACGGCUCACCAAGGCGACGAUACAUAGCCGACCUGAGAGGGUGAUCGGCCGCACUGGGACUGAGACACGGCACAGACUCCUACGGGAGGCAGCAGUAGGGAAUCGUCGGCAAUGGACGGAAGUCUGACCGCGCAACGCGGCGUGAGUGAAGAAGAUUUUCGGAUCGUAAAGCUCUGUUGUAAGAGAAGAACGAGUGUGAGGGUGGAAAGUUCACACUGUGACGGUAACUUACCAGAAAGGGACGGCUAAGUACGUG